UCCAGACUCCUACGGGAGGCAGCAGUAGGGAAUUUUGCGCAAUGGGCGAAAGCCUGACGCAGCAACGCCGCGUGAUCGAGACGCCCUUCGGGGUGUAAAGAUCUGUCAGUGGGGACGAAACUUGACGGUACCCACAGAGGAAGCACCGGCUAACUCCGUGCCAGCAGCCGCGGUAAUACGGGGGGUGCAAGCGUUGUCCGGAAUCAUUGGGCGUAAAGGGUGCGUAGGUGGUUUCUUAAGUCAGAGGUGAAAGGCUACGGCUCAACCGUAGUAAGCCUUUGAAACUGGGAAACUUGAGUGCAGGAGAGGAGAGUGGAAUUCCUAGUGUAGCGGUGAAAUGCGUAGAUAUUAGGAGGAACGCCAGUUGCGAAGGCGGCUCUCUGGACUGUAACUGACACUGAGGCACGAAAGCGUGGGGAGCAAACAGGAUUAGAUACCCUAGUA
RNAcentral lists this ribosomal RNA (444 nucleotides) under uncultured bacterium. RNAcentral describes it as "partial 16S ribosomal RNA". It matches the Rfam family "Bacterial small subunit ribosomal RNA", at positions 330 to 792 of the family's 1533-position model. The record is from RNAcentral.